This is a long non-coding RNA of Coturnix japonica (Japanese quail), 685 nucleotides long. Lineage: Eukaryota; Metazoa; Chordata; Aves; Galliformes; Phasianidae. The record is from Ensembl.
UACAUCCAUGACAUGCAAAGAGGAGGAGUUUAGUUUUAUAUUUUAAUCUCUGUCAAUUUAAAUUGCUGUCUGAUGAGAUUUUUUUAUUAUUAUUAUUUAUUAUUAUUAUAUAUAUUUUUUAACAUUUCCAGUAAGAAAUUCUACAAUGCACCAGCAAGCUGAAAAUCAAAGGGAGUACUAUUUUCCAUAAAUUGAAAAUUUAAACCAUGGAACUCACUGUCACAGAGCAUGACAAUGGAAGUCGAAAUUCUAAAUGUUCUAGAGAACAAUUCCAUGGAAGCAAAGUGUUUCAAGGGCUGCCAGCAACAGCAAUGCAUCUGCAGUCCAGGAAGUCCCUCUGGACUGUCCCACAAGGAGAAGAAAAGAGAGGUACUGUACAUAGGGUUUGGAGAGUCAGCAGCUGUCUCCAGGUAAACAUUCCCAGAUCUUGGCAUAAAGAUAGCUGCAAAGUUAGGCCAAUGACUAUCAUGCACAAAGGAUAACUGUGGCAGCCUAAAGCCAUGGCUAAUUAAAAUGACCACAUAUACUCAUCUGUCCAAGAGCAACGUUCUACAGAAGGGAAGACUAAUGAAAGCAUUUUGCGGGCAUAACUACUCAGUCUCAUUUGUUCCACCUCCAGUGUUGACAGCAGCCACCAACCUGGGUAACAGCUCAAAAUAAAUUAAGCCUAAAGUGAGAAGUGUCA